This 254-nucleotide ribosomal RNA is filed under the name uncultured bacterium. Its description in RNAcentral is "partial 16S ribosomal RNA". It matches the Rfam family "Bacterial small subunit ribosomal RNA", at positions 524 to 776 of the family's 1533-position model. The record is from RNAcentral.
CACGUAGGGGGCGAGCGUUGUCCGGAUUUAUUGGGCGUAAAGAGCUCGUAGGCGGCUAAGUAAGUCGGGUGUGAAAACUCCAGGCUCAACCUGGAGACGCCACCUGAUACUGCUUUGGCUAGAGUCCGGUAGGGGAGCAUGGAAUUCCUGGUGUAGCGGUGAAAUGCGCAGAUAUCAGGAGGAACACCAGUGGCGAAGGCGGUGCUCUGGGCCGGAACUGACGCUGAGGAGCGAAAGCGUGGGGAGCAAACAGG